UUAACUCAAAUUUGUAUGCAGUUGGAACUUUACUUACGUUUGCCACUAGGGGCGCUAUUCCAACUGCAUACCAAUUUUACUUU
Bombyx mori (domestic silkworm) is the source of this 83-nucleotide non-coding RNA. The record is from Rfam. NCBI's taxonomy places the organism in Eukaryota, Metazoa, Arthropoda, Insecta, Lepidoptera, Bombycidae.